GAUGAACGCUAGCGGCAGGCCUAACACAUGCAAGUCGAACGGUAACAGUUCCUUCGGGAAGCUGACGAGUGGCGCACGGGUGCGUAACGCGUAUGCAAUCUACCUUUUACAGGGGGAUAG
RNAcentral lists this ribosomal RNA (120 nucleotides) under uncultured bacterium. Its description in RNAcentral is "partial 16S ribosomal RNA". It matches the Rfam family "Bacterial small subunit ribosomal RNA", at positions 28 to 146 of the family's 1533-position model. The record is from RNAcentral.